Molecule: ribosomal RNA, 463 nt
Filed under: uncultured bacterium
Lineage: Bacteria
Description: bacterial SSU rRNA
Rfam family: Bacterial small subunit ribosomal RNA
Source: RNAcentral
CUGCCAGACUCCUACGGGAGGCAGCAGUGGGGAAUAUUGCACAAUGGGGGAAACCCUGAUGCAGCGACGCCGCGUGGGUGAAGGAGCACCUCGGUGCGUAAAGCCCUAUCGGCAGGGAAGAAAAGCGAACAGGUUCGCCUGGACGGUACCUGACUAAGAAGCCCCGGCUAACUACGUGCCAGCAGCCGCGGUAAUACGUAGGGGGCGAGCGUUAUCCGGAUUUACUGGGUGUAAAGGGAGCGUAGACGGUUCUGCAAGUCUGAAGUGAAAGCCCGUGGCUUAACCGCGGAACGGCUUUGGAAACUGUGGAACUGGAGUGCUGGAGAGGCAAGCGGAAUUCCUAGUGUAGCGGUGAAAUGCGUAGAUAUUAGGAGGAACACCAGUGGCGAAGGCGGCUUACUGGACUGUAACUGACGUUGAGGCUCGAAAGCGUGGGGAGCAAACAGGAUUAGAUACCCUCGUA